AACGAACGUUAGCGGCGCGCUUAACACAUGCAAGUCGAGCGAGAAAGGGGCAACCCCGGUAAAGCGGCGCACGGGUGAGUAACACGUAGGUAAUCUACCCUCGGGUGGAGGAUAACUUUCCGAAAGGAAGGCUAAUACUGCAUGAGACCACGACCUCGAAAGGGGAUGGGGUCAAAGCCGGCCUCUGUACACAAGCUGGCGCCUGAGGAUGAGCCUGCGGCCCAUCAGCUAGUUGGUAGGGUAAUGGCCUACCAAGGCGAAGACGGGUAGCUGGUCUGAGAGGAUGAUCAGCCACACUGGAACUGAGACACGGUCCAGACUCCUACGGGAGGCAGCAGUAGGGAAUCUUGCGCAAUGGGCGAAAGCCUGACGCAGCGACGCCGCGUGAGUGAUG
This 394-nucleotide ribosomal RNA is filed under the name uncultured bacterium. RNAcentral's name for it is "bacterial SSU rRNA". It matches the Rfam family "Bacterial small subunit ribosomal RNA", at positions 29 to 410 of the family's 1533-position model. The record is from RNAcentral.